Molecule: ribosomal RNA, 372 nt
Filed under: uncultured bacterium
Lineage: Bacteria
Description: bacterial SSU rRNA
Rfam family: Bacterial small subunit ribosomal RNA
Source: RNAcentral
GGAGGGUGCUAGCGUUGUUCGGAAUCACUGGGCGUAAAGCGCGUGUAGGAGGCCCACUAAGUCUGAUGUGAAAGCCCGGGGCUCACCCCCGGAAGUGCAUUGGAAACUGGUGGACUCGAGUCCCGGAGAGGAGGGUGGAAUUCCUGGUGUAGCGGUGAAAUGCGUAGAUAUCAGGAGGAACACCGGUGGCGAAGGCGGAUCUCUGGGCCUUACCUGACGCUCAGGCACGAAAGCUAGGGGAGCGAACAGGAUUAGAUACCCUGGUAGUCCUAGCCGUAAACGUUGGGUGCUAGGUGUGGGCGGAUAUCGACCCCGUCCGUGCCGAAGCUAACGCAUUAAGCACCCCGCCUGGGGAGUACGGCCGCAAGGCUA